This 256-nucleotide ribosomal RNA is filed under the name uncultured bacterium. RNAcentral's name for it is "partial 16S ribosomal RNA". It matches the Rfam family "Bacterial small subunit ribosomal RNA", at positions 521 to 776 of the family's 1533-position model. The record is from RNAcentral.
UAAUACGGAGGGGGCUAGCGUUGUUCGGAAUUACUGGGCGUAAAGCGCACGUAGGCGGCUUUGUAAGUUAGAGGUGAAAGCCCAGGGCUCAACCCUGGAACUGCCUUUAAGACUGCAUCGCUUGAACACGGGAGAGGUGAGUGGAAUUCCGAGUGUAGAGGUGAAAUUCGUAGAUAUUCGGAAGAACACCAGUGGCGAAGGCGACUCACUGGACCGUUGUUGACGCUGAGGUGCGAAAGCGUGGGGAGCAAACAGG